Molecule: ribosomal RNA, 346 nt
Filed under: uncultured bacterium
Lineage: Bacteria
Description: bacterial SSU rRNA
Rfam family: Bacterial small subunit ribosomal RNA
Source: RNAcentral
GACGAACGCUGGCGGCGUGCUUAACACAUGCAAGUCGAGCGGUAAGGCCCUUCGGGUACGACGAGCGGCGAACGGGUGAGUAACACGUGGGUGACCUGCCCUUACGCUCUGGGAUAAGCCUGGGAAACUAGGGUCUAAUACCGGAUAUGACCUCAUGACGCAUGUUGUGGGGUGGAAAGCCUUGUGCGGCUAGGGAUGGGCCCGCGGCCUAUCAGCUUGUUGGUGGGGUGAUGGCCACCAAGGCGACGACGGGUAGCCGGCCUGAGAGGGCGACCGGCCACACUGGGACUGAGACACGGCCCAGACUCCUACGGGAGGGCAGCAGUGGGGAAUCUUGCGCAAUGGG